CCCUUAGAUGUUCUGGGCGGCCCGCGCACUACACUGGCACUCUCAAUCAGAGCCUGGAUCUAACACUUUGGGGUAUUCUAUGAAGUGGUGUCGUGACUGGGAUUAACCCUUGCAAUUAUUGGUUACGAACGAGGAAUUCCUUGUAAUCGCGGUUUAUCAGCCCGCGUUGAAUGCGUCCCUGCCCUUUGUACACACCGCCCGUCGCUCCUACCGAUUGGGUGUGCUGGUGAAAUGUUCGGAUCGGCCGUUUGUCGCGGUUUCCGCGUCAUGUGGCUGAGAAGUUCAUUAAACCCUCCCACCUAGAGGAAGGAGAAGUCGUAACA
This 323-nucleotide ribosomal RNA is filed under the name uncultured eukaryote. RNAcentral's name for it is "partial 18S ribosomal RNA". It matches the Rfam family "Eukaryotic small subunit ribosomal RNA", at positions 1470 to 1796 of the family's 1831-position model. The record is from RNAcentral.